Molecule: ribosomal RNA, 150 nt
Filed under: bacterium
Lineage: Bacteria
Description: partial 16S ribosomal RNA
Rfam family: Bacterial small subunit ribosomal RNA
Source: RNAcentral
CUACCAAGGCGACGAUCUAGUAGCGAGUGUCUGAGAGAGUAUGAUCCGCCACACGUCGCGCACUGAGACACGGCCCAGACUCCUACGGGAGGCAGCAGUGGGGAAUAUUGGACAGAUGGGCGAAAGCCUGAUCCAGCCAUGAUCAAACUC